CUAAUACACUUGUGUCCUCCCUGU
RNAcentral lists this non-coding RNA (24 nucleotides) under Arabidopsis thaliana (thale cress). The record is from RNAcentral. Lineage: Eukaryota; Viridiplantae; Streptophyta; Magnoliopsida; Brassicales; Brassicaceae.